Pelobates cultripes (western spadefoot toad) is the source of this 311-nucleotide non-coding RNA. NCBI's taxonomy places the organism in Eukaryota, Metazoa, Chordata, Amphibia, Anura, Pelobatidae. The record is from the annotation of a GenBank genome assembly.
CUCAGACAAAGUGUAAGACACUGCUGUAUGCAACUCAAAUGAGCAUUACUCAUAGCACUGUCCAUGAAACUGAACAGGAAUGUCAACUAAUAGUAUCUGCUGUAUGGCUGCUAUCACCCUGUUUUGUCCUGUGUGAUGAAUGGAACUGCUGUCAGAGGCCAUACUACAUAUAGCAUUAACCUCUGCAAGACGGGGUUUUCUUUGGUAAGAAUAGGUAACAGAUCAAAAUGAAAGGCUCCUGAUUGGUGCAGUGUAUUCUUAGUCUGGGAAGGUGGAUGUCAGAUUCUGCUUGUGUAUGCAGCAGUUUAAUG